AUGCACGCUGGCGGCGUGCCUAAUACCUGCAAGUCGCGCGAACAGACGAGGAGCUUGCUCCUCUGACGUUAGCGGCGGACGGGUGAGUAACACGUGGAUAACCUACCUAUAAGACUGGGAUAACUUCGGGAAACCGGAGCUAAUACCGGAUAAUAUAUUGAACCGCAUGGUUCAAUAGUGAAAGACGGUUUUGCUGUCACUUAUAGAUGGAUCCGCGCCGCAUUAGCUAGUUGGUAAGGUAACGGCUUACCAAGGCAACGAUGCGUAGCCGACCUGAGAGGGUGAUCGGCCACACUGGAACUGAGACACGGUCCAGACUCCUACGGGAGGCAGCAGUAGGGAAUCUUCCGCAAUGGGCGAAAGCCUGACGGUGCAACGCCGCGUGAGUGAUGAAGGUCUUCGGAUCGUAAAACUCUGUUAUUAGGGAAGAACAAAUGUGUAAGUAACUAUGCACGUCUUGACGGUACCUAAUCAGAAAGCCACGGCUAACUACGUG
RNAcentral lists this ribosomal RNA (496 nucleotides) under uncultured bacterium. RNAcentral's name for it is "partial 16S ribosomal RNA". It matches the Rfam family "Bacterial small subunit ribosomal RNA", at positions 29 to 507 of the family's 1533-position model. The record is from RNAcentral.